UCCGAAAGAGUUUUAUUAUUUAAGUGACAAGAAAUGAAAAUUUGUUUCGGAAAAGGAUUAUUUACAUUUUUUAUUCAGAGUCGCCACUUGGCAUAAUCCGGUGUGCCAAGUCACCUUUGGAAAAUCCUUUUCGAAACCAUUUGACUCUUAAACUGGUUUUGCGAACAGAGAUUCCGGCUAAGGAAUUCUGUUGACUGAGGGGAAGGUGUUAGGCACCCCUCGAUCCCGUGGUUCAGCCAUGGUCGCUUGGGUAGAGUGUAUCAACUAUUUUGGCAUUACGAAAUGUAGAAACCAUACAAAAGCACGCAAAAUAAUCAAGCAGUAAACAAAACAAAACAAAAUGUAAAGUCCUGUCCAAUUAUUACAACCCGAAAUAAAAAUACUAAAAUAACCUACACUAGUCCUAAACUAUGCUUUACCCGAUGCCUCGGGCCUUGAUCACGAGCAUCCUUUGCGUACAAAAUUCUUUAGAGCAUUCCCCGGUGAAUAAAUACAAAUUACUUCGGGGCAUUCCCCGGUUAAAUAAAUACACUUUGAAUCGAAUGCGAUAAAGUAGAAAACAUUCAACACUUACUCCACGUUCACAUCCAACAAAGCACUUAAUUCUAAAAUUUGCCUACCCGAACCUAUAUUGCCUAUCCAUUUCAACAUGGCAUAAAUCUAUCACAUUCACUCAAUGUUUACUUAUUUUGGAUUGAACGAAAAUAAUAAUAAACCCACGUUAAUCUAUUUCAUCCCUUUUUAUCAAGUUCUCAAUUCCACCCCCACUAGUUUCGUUUUUAUCAAUCAACAAUCAACACAUGGUCAAAUUCUUUCCUCAACCCACCAUAGCCGAAUCAACAAACGUAAUGAUCAAUAUCAACAAUAAAACCAACAAACAUAAUAACACCACACAUAAUCACAACCAAUUCGACACACCAAGAUAAAUAAAAGAGAGCGGGUUAAGAAAUGGACCUUCCGAAUAUUCUGGCUUGAUUAAGAAAAAUAAAGCCGUUCCAAAACCUCGAGCCGAACCUCAACAACGACCAAACUCGACCCCAAACAGUCUCAUACCACUCGGCAUCGCAAAGCAAAGCCCGAAUCUAGCCGAAAUAAAAGACGGAGAUAACACUGAUACGACCCGUUAAAACGAAUGAGACCAAUUUCUAGGAUUUUUCGCCCAUUUAAUGAUAUAUUUUACUGAAACAGGACAAAGACGUCGACUCAAAUGCUUUUCCGGUAGAUACCCGUCGUUGGACAAUGACAGUGAUGGCAACGGAGUAAUUGGACACUAGUUUAAUCGGAUUUUAGGAGGGCUUUGGAGCUGGUUAUUGUUGCUGUUGUAUUUCCUGCUCUCCGGUGAGUUUUCCCGGCAGUUCUCCGGAGAGAUCUCACCGAAAAACUCUAAAAUCCCUCUAUUUCGAUCAACUCGUUCUUCUCCUCCUUUUAUCUAUUUCUAUUCCUCUCCGUUUUUCUAUUCUCUCUCGAUCUCUCUUCCUCUCUCAAUCUUUCAACCUUAAUUUUCUCUCUGUGUGUAUGCGUAUGUGUGGAUUCCGGUCAGCUGUGUGGUCUCUGGCGACGGUGCAUGUAUAUUUCCCGUCACCCGCGAGUGUGUGCAUAUGUACUGUCAAUGGAGAGUGGGGUUUAAAUUAUAUGAGUAUUUGUGUGUCCGUGAGUGUGUUUUCGGUGAGAUACGAGUGAAGAAGAUGAAAAAUUGUGAAUUAUGAAAAAAAAAAUGAAAGAAAAAGGAAGAUCGUCCGUGCUCUCCCUUUUCUUGUUACUGUUUGUUUUGAAAAUAAGAAGAAGAAAAAUGGAUGGGAGUUGUGAUCUG
Molecule: long non-coding RNA, 1810 nt
Filed under: Capsicum annuum
Lineage: Eukaryota; Viridiplantae; Streptophyta; Magnoliopsida; Solanales; Solanaceae
Description: long non-coding RNA (CANN_LNC021025)
Source: RNAcentral